Dermacentor andersoni is the source of this 799-nucleotide non-coding RNA. The record is from RefSeq and is a predicted model, not a curated record. Lineage: Eukaryota; Metazoa; Arthropoda; Arachnida; Ixodida; Ixodidae.
UGUGAAGACGCAAGGUUUUCGCGCAGUAAUGUAAGAAUUACUGACGAUCACGCUGUGUAAGAAAAUAAUUGUGACGUGUGUAAACUAUAAUGAAUUCAUUUCAAAUUAUAAAGGUGGCGCAGGAGUCGAACAAGCAGGCGAAGCGUUGACGAAGCUAGGAAAACAACAUGAAAUGUUAUUACUGUGCUAACAUUUCUGUCGGCUACGACUGCUACGACUCCUAGUUAAAUGGUUGAAUAUUCUUCGGUUCUGCAGUCAAGUAUAGGCGAAGAUCGAACGCCGUUGAUGUGUUCGCAAUGUGCGUGUGACGGGGAUCGAAUGUGACCGUAGAAACCGACUAGCCAAAGUCCGGAUCGCAGUGAAUGUGAAGGCGCCCUCGAAUCGGGAUCCUCUGGAGACGCCUCCAGACCCGCUCUCUCCCAUCCCCUCUGCUGCUAUCCCACUACUGUGGCAUCUCGCCUACAUGCUCCCUAUGCGGCGACCCUCACGCCACACUCUCCCACAUCUUUUUUGGCUGCCCUGCUGACCCUACCCCGCAGGGGCAGCCCGCAAUCUCAAGCUGGGAGGACUGGGAGGUCCUGCUCUCGUCCACGGUGCUCUCGUCCACGGUGUAAGAAUAUACCAUACUGUGCUCUCGUCUACGGACCCGACAUCGCAGCUUACUGCGGUGGCUCAGGAUGCCGACGUCAUGAACAAAAGAGACAUGAACGUAUUGAUGUAGUGUGGGACCGUGCGGUGGCCCAGGGACCCAGAGGAGUCCAAACUCACUUGCUGCAAAUAAAGUUUUUCUGUCUGUGUG